UACUGCUAAUACCUCUCCCUAUACAACCAUGCAUUCUGCUAGCAUUUCCUGCUGCUCUAUUACAUUGUCUGCCUACCUUUAAGUCAUCAGAAAUAAUCACCCCUAAAUCCCUUUCCUCAAUUGUUGAGGUUAGGACUCUAUCAAAUAUUCUGUACUCUGCCCUUGGGCUUUUACGUCCAAGAUGCAUUAUCUCGCACUUAUCCACAUUAAAUGUCAGUUGCCACAAUUCUGACCAUUUUUCUAGUUUACCUAAAUCAUUUGCCAUUUGGCUUAUCCCUCCUGGAACAUCAACC
This is a non-coding RNA of Pelobates cultripes (western spadefoot toad), 293 nucleotides long. Lineage: Eukaryota; Metazoa; Chordata; Amphibia; Anura; Pelobatidae. The record is from the annotation of a GenBank genome assembly.